Molecule: long non-coding RNA, 128 nt
Organism: Perognathus longimembris pacificus (Pacific pocket mouse)
Lineage: Eukaryota; Metazoa; Chordata; Mammalia; Rodentia; Heteromyidae
Exons: 3
Source: RefSeq, a predicted model, not a curated record
AUUUUUUCAAUUUAAUUUUAUUUAAAUCUAAGUGUGAUGUACAGAGGAAUUACAGUUACAUAAGUAAGAUAAUGAGUACAUUUCUUGUCAAACAGUGUUACCAUCUCCUUAGUUUUCUUCUACUUCCC